Molecule: small RNA, 3392 nt
Filed under: Pongo abelii (Sumatran orangutan)
Lineage: Eukaryota; Metazoa; Chordata; Mammalia; Primates; Hominidae
Description: processed transcript
Source: RNAcentral
ACUAACAAAAGAUGGCUACGAGGGUAACAUGUUCGGAGGCCUCAGCGGAGCAACAGUCAUUGACUCCCUCGACACCCUCUACCUCAUGGAGCUGAAGGAGGAGUUCCAGGAGGCCAAGGCCUGGGUGGAAGAGAGCUUCCACCUGAACGUGAGUGGAGAAGCAUCCUUGUUUGAGGUGAACAUCCGCUACAUCGGGGGACUCCUCUCAGCCUUCUACCUGACAGGAGAAGAGGUGUUCCGAAUAAAGGCCAUCAGGCUGGGAGAGAAGCUCCUGCCGGCAUUCAACACCCCCACGGGAAUCCCAAAGGGUGUGGUGAGCUUCAAAAGCGGGAGCUGGGGCUGGGCCACAGCCGGCAGCAGCAGCAUCUUGGCAGAGUUUGGAUCCCUGCACUUGGAAUUCUUACACCUCACUGAACUCUCUGGCAACCAGGUCUUCGCUGAAAAGGCAAGUCUCCUCCCCACCCUUCUUCCUGCGGAGCAGAGGGAUGAGCGUGCGGCUGCCACAGGGUUUUCAGAGGCGAGUGGGUCCUCCCUCAUGGAUCAGCAGGAGGGCAGUGGGGAGCCCGGGAGUCCAAGCUACCGCUAAGAUAGCAAAUAGUAGCUACCUAUACCCCAACGCCAGGUGGCAGGGAAGGUGAGCACGCAGAGUCAAUAAGAUUCUACACAGGGAAAGGGAGAGACAAGAUUCUGCCGGGGAAAAGGUUCUCACUGGUCUGCGUCAGCUCAGUGGCAACCACCCAUAUGUGAAAUUUGGAGAAAGUGCAGCUGAAAUCUAGGCACCACCUUGCAUUGGCAGGAAUUGGCCACCCGCUGCAGAAGUCCCCUUUCCAGAGAAGUUUAGCUUUUCCAUGCGAGAUCUGCCUGCCUUCUUCCCUGUGCCUGUUUAGCUCAUGCCAUCAGCAGGCUGGCAUGGCAAUACCCUGCCAUGGCAGAUGCCCCGACUGUUCAUUCCUGCUGUUCAAGGCCACAUGGGACACUGAGAGCACCAAUCAGCCCCAACAGCUGCCCACACCUGGCCUUGGGCAGUCCCCACUACCUAGAAGUGUCGCUGUAGGUCUGACCUUAAAUCCAAAGAAGGGAAGUGCUCACACCUCCCUCAGAUGGCACUCAGGCUCCAGCAGCUACGGUCCCUCCUGAGGGCUCCCUGGAGAGAUGGAAGCCCUGCCCAUCCUCUAGAGCCCUCCAAGGAGAACUUUGUGGCAGCACCACUCCCAAAGUCUUGUCUUCCCCCUGGAAUGCCCACCUCUUAGACCAGUACGGGAGCUGGGAGAUGACUGAUAAAUUCCCGCCUCUACGCCACGACUCCCAGCAUGGCAGCUGGGAGAUGAUAGAUUCCCACAGCUGCCCCAUGGCUCCCAGUAUCAUGUCGCCGUCCAGCCUCAAAGCAUCACCUGGCGCAGCUGUGAGGAAACAGAUUUCUGGGCUUCACUCCAGAGCCAGGCAUCUACAUUUUUAAUACGCAUUCGUGUGCUUUUUGACGCAUGGUUUGGGACCACUACUUACUCAAUGUAGGAGCCCACCUGAGCGUCCUUAAGAAGCUCAAGAAGAGUUGUUCAGCCUCUUCUUGAUUACUUUCUCUGACAAGGAGCUCACUGCCACCCUUAAACAGUCCGUCAUCCUGGCAGCCCUUCCUUCGAAAGUGUUUUCCUUACAUUGAGAGGGACUCUGCCUCCCUGAAACUCCCCCACUUGAAAGUUUGUGGAAUGAGUUCAACCUCACUUCCUAGUAGCUCUUAUUUUCUGAUCCUUUCCCACCUCCAAGUCCCAUCCCCCAACCUCCCUGUUUCCGUUGCUCUUAAAUCAGACUCCUCUAGGAAGGUUCUGACCAGCUCCGAAUGGAGUGGGACAGGGAGCUCACUCCAGUCCCUGGUUAUUCUGGAGUAAUAGCUACCCCUGCCUGAGCACCCACUAUGUGCUGGGCACAUUAUAAUGGCUCUACUCUUCCCAACAACCCUAUGACAUGGGUCUUCCUGGUGUUCCCAUAUUUACAGAGGAGGAAACUAAGACUCAGAGAGGUCACGUCACUUGCCCUGGGCCUUCCAGCUGGUCAGUGAUAAAGCCAUGAUUCAAGCCCAGGACGUGCUGGCUCCUUCCAGACCAGAUUGAUAGAGCAGGCUGCAGGCUUUUGCUCUAGAGUCCAUCUGUCUAUCUCUGUCUCCUCUACAUUUACAUACUCUGGCUAUUUUCAUCCCCCAAUCAUGCCUCCCACAGAGGCAAUUAUUGGCAGUCAACAAAUUGGCCCAAAUUCUAGAAGCGCCCGCACCCUCCAGGGGAGCUAAUUUAGCCUGCUUCACUGCUCACCACCAGGACAGUCGAGAGUAACGCAGGUACAAGCACAUUCCUGUCCCCGUAAUGGACUUUGUUAACAUAAAUGGAUAUGAAAUCUGACAUGGCAAAGCCAAGUGCUGUCGCCUGGAAAGGAAGGUCUGCCUGCAGAAAGGUGGCUCUCCCGCUUUCCCGGCCCCGUACACACAUAACUCUAUCAACAUGAGACAGUGUCCCUUUCUCUCCCAAGGGGUCUUGUGCUGGCUAGGACGUGCCGAGUAGGAUUUAACCACUGUCGGAGAGCAGGCACUAUGGAUAAAGCCCUCCUGAAUUCCACUUCUCACCUUCAUAGCCCCAAAGGUUGCAAACCCAGCCUCUUUCUGCUCCAGCUGGGGCAGCCUCUGCUCCGUGGUCACCGCCCUGAUCUGUGUUGGCCCAGUGCUGCCCUGUGUCAGGCAGGAAUAUGUAUGGUUUAUGUUGUCAGAAUUCAUUCAUGUCUUAGCUUUGCCACUUAAGGACCAGGUGGCCAUCAGCAAGUCACCAAACCUCUCUGAGAUUCAGUUUUCUUGUUUGUUACACUGAGAUAAUCCCUUGUCGGUUACGAGGGUUGGAGAUAAUGUAUAUAACGGAUCUGGCUCAAAGGAACUGAAAAAGGAUAACAGCUGUUAUUGCUUUUUAUAAUUAUUAUUAUUUUUAUUAAAACCCUGAAAUGCCUGUUAGGGCAUGGGGUUAUUCAGGAGCCCAAGCCUCUCCCCUGAAAUGAUUCCAGGGUAUCAGAUAAAAUAGCAUAUUACUAGAUUGGGCCAUAUGAAACUGCCAAUAUUGGACCUUUUUUUGAUUGCCUUAUAUGCUUGCUGUUUUUUAACUAGCCGGAAUACUUAAGUUAGCAACACUUAGCCCUAAGCAGUUUUCAAGAAUACAGUACAUUGUUAUGAACUACAGUCAUCAUGUCUUAUACCAUAGAUCUCUUGAACUUAUUCCUCCUAAUUGAAAUGUUAUAUCCUUUGAUCAGCAUCUCCCCAACCCUUGGUAACCACCAUUCUACUCUCUACCUCUACUUCUUUUUUUUUUUUUUUUUUUUUUUUGAGAUGGAGUCUCUCUCUGUUGCCCAGGCUGGAGUGCAGUGGC